This 270-nucleotide ribosomal RNA is filed under the name uncultured archaeon. Its description in RNAcentral is "partial 16S ribosomal RNA". It matches the Rfam family "Archaeal small subunit ribosomal RNA", at positions 477 to 747 of the family's 1478-position model. The record is from RNAcentral.
CAGCACCUCGAGUGGUCAGGAUGAUUAUUGGGCCUAAAGCAUCCGUAGCCGGCUCUGUAAGUUUUCGGUUAAAUCUGUACGCUCAACGUACAGGCUGCCGGGAAUACUGCAGAGCUAGGGAGUGGGAGAGGUAGACGGUACUCGGUAGGAAGGGGUAAAAUCCUUUGAUCUAUUGAUGACCACCUGUGGCGAAGGCGGUCUACCAGAACACGUCCGACGGUGAGGGAUGAAAGCUGGGGGAGCAAACCGGAUUAGAUACCCGUGUAGUCC